This is a long non-coding RNA of Coturnix japonica (Japanese quail), 2588 nucleotides long. RefSeq lists it as uncharacterized. The record is from RefSeq and is a predicted model, not a curated record. NCBI's taxonomy places the organism in Eukaryota, Metazoa, Chordata, Aves, Galliformes, Phasianidae.
CUUGGCCUGGUGGCUGCAUCACAUUUGCCUUGGGAAUUUGUACACGUCACUGUUCUUUUCUGGAUCCCUUUGCCACAGUCUGCUGAACACUGCAAAACAACAGGCAUUCCUGGAUGAAGUGAAUGAUGGGAACAAUAACUGUGUAGGCACUAGGCACCGGAAGGCUAUCAUCACCAGAAUUGCCUCAAUGAGCUGAGUUGCUGGAUUUCCUUGGAAGUAUCUUUUUGUCUUUCAGUAACAAAUUAACUCCUGACUGCCUGUUGCUUAAUGAACUGCAUACAACCCAGAGUGCAUGUGAUUUUGUCUCCUUCUAGUGGACGGUGAUAACCAGAUGUACCCACAAUAGGACAUCAGCUACUCACAUCAGCUACUCACAAGGGUACCCACAGGAAUCACUGUGGUGCAUGAGCCUUUGGACAGCAUAGUGUUGGAUCCUUGCCUGCAGAUGGAAAAGUGAAAGGGGACUAGAAGAAAGAAAGAAUGAAAGAAAGAAGCGAUCCGUAUAACCACAGGCCUGACCUCAGCAGCGUGCCAGCUUUUAGAACAGAUUUGGAGGGAAACAACAAUCAAGGAUAUGGUGGUAAAUGGAAAACAGGAAAAAUGCAACAUAGGGUUCCUCCAGGCAGCCCAGGCUAAAGUAGAUGCUAUGUUGCAGUUGCAGAGCUCUGAUCUCCUUGGCCUCACCAAACUACUGUCCCCUAAACCUACGUUAUUUGGCUCUCCCAAGAGGUGGCUGAAGUUCAAAGGGAUGUAUAAUUUGCAAAGCACUUUGAGAUCAUGCUGGAAGAAAUACGCUGUUAUUAAUAUCAUACACUUUUUUUCUCUCCAGAUCAUUUUAUAUAUAACGUAGAUUACUUUUUAUUUUUAUUACAAUCUCAACAUCAAUAGCCCCGUCUGUCUCCUCCAUUUGUAUGACAUGAUCUCACUCCAUUCCAAGGAGUUUGCAGACCACAUUAUAAACGAAUUAAGAGAAGAUGCAAAGAGUGUGGGAUAGUGAAUUAAAGUCACACAGCACACCCAAAAAUGAAACAGAGACCAAGAGUCCAAUGACUGUGUCCUGGGUUCUGGCCAUUACACCUUUCCCCAGAGACAAAUUCUGUGUAAGAUGAUUCCCUUACAUUUUGAGUAAAAGCAUAAACGUAUAGAAAAAUGCACAAAACAGAGCAGACCUACAGCUGAAAGGAAAGCAUUAUUCUUUCUUCUGCUCAGGUAAAGGGCUUAGGUCUGAGUGGGAAUGGGAAAGGGCCUUAUUGUAACAAGAUGCUACAGCAAUUUUACUUGAAACCUGAAAACAAAUUCAGGGUUUAUUAAGAAAAAAAAAAAUAGAAGAAAAAAAAAAAGCAUUGACAUGGUGAAAGAAAAUGGUUUCUUUAAGAUGUUCUUGGUCAGAGAAUAUGCUAAGCAUGCAUUUCUAAUAUCUGGGUGGGCAAACGCAAAUGGAAAUUUAAAUUCUACAGAGGCACAGAGAAUGUGCUUCUUGAAAAUGUUUCCAGUCAAAAGCGUGUUAUGUGUGAAAGUGUGGUCUACACAGAGGGAGUGAAGGAGUGUGGUCUGUCAGAUCAUCGGCAAGCAUUUUGUGGCCAUUCUGGGUACUAAGGACAUUUGGUAUUGACUGUCACUGCUCAGACAACAGAACGUUGCUGUGCAGGAGCUAAUUAUUCCUGAGGAGAGCUGGGAUAAACUAUGGCUGUAAGUUGCCUGAUAGCUCUAUACACAAGAAGAGACACCUUGGAACAAUAUUAAGUGCUGGACCUGAAUCUGCAGAAGAACACAAUUUGGAUACAGUAACUUGUUUGGUCCUUUCUCAGCAGGUUGUGUGCUGUUUUACUAUCUCCCUAUGUGGUGGCAAAAGCUUUUAGCUUCUUCCCAAGCUUUUUUACACCUCUAACACCUGGAGACCCUUCAAAUGACCUCACUGAUUCACUCCAGUGUCUUCCCAAUGUAUUUUUAAAAAGUCUAAAAGAAAUCCUUUGUGCCAAGACAGAAACACAAGCAGAUGCUCCUUGUUUCAGUCUUUCAGAGAAAUUGACAUGAUAGAAAUCCCAGCAUCUCUGAAUUUAGGAAACUUCCUCACAGAAAUGACAGUUGUUUCCCUCAAGCUACUGGGAGUUUGGCUCUCCUUAUAGACCUAGAAGCACACACAGUAUCUCAUUAUACCUUUCAGUACCACUGAAAGCAUUUUGGCCACAAUAUUGCGCAGCUGUAAUAGGUGCAGAAACAAAAUGAAACCUGAAACAACUCAAUCUUAUUGAUGGAUUACCUAACACUAGAUUUUCCUGCUUCAGGGCACUUUAAUCAGAAUGCAGGUCCAAUUAGAGGGAAAUGUGUUGCUUCUCACUUCCCCUAUUGUUCCUCCCAGCAGGAUGAACUUUGUAGGUACAUUCCCCUGGCUUCUCUGAUUAAACAAGAUGCAACAGAUAGCAAAUUCCUUUUAACAGGCCCUUGUAGAUAUUCAUGAACUUUAUUCUAAGUUCACUUUGUGUUCUAACUGCUACCCAAAGUGGAUGGUCCACUUUAGUCUGCAACACUAAGCACUGCUUGUGAGCAAGAGUGAAAUUUUUUGCUAGCAAAUAAAUAGAACAAAUUAA